Molecule: ribosomal RNA, 468 nt
Filed under: uncultured bacterium
Lineage: Bacteria
Description: partial 16S ribosomal RNA
Rfam family: Bacterial small subunit ribosomal RNA
Source: RNAcentral
GACGAACGCUGGCGGCGUGCUUAACACAUGCAAGUCGAACGGAAAGGCCCUGCUUUUGUUGGGUGCUCGAUUGGCGAACUGGUGAGUAACACGUGAGUAUCCUGCCCUUGACUUUGGGAUAACUUCAGGAAACUGGGGCUAAUACCUGAUAGGAGCUCCUGCUGCAUGGUGUGGUUUGGUAAUUUUCGGCGGUUGGGGAUGGUCUCGCUGCUUAUCAGCUUGUUUGUGGGGUAGUGGCUUACCAAGGCUUUGACGGGUAGCCGGCAUGAGAGGGUGAACGGCGAAAAUGGGACUGAGAGAGGGCGCAGAAUGCAACGGGAGGCAGCAGUGGGGAAUAUUGCACAAUGGGCGGAAGGGUGAGGAAGAAAAGCAGCGUGCGGGAUGAAGGCCUUAGGGUUGUAAACAGAUUUAGAAUGUGACGAAGAGUGAGUGACGGUAAUGGGUAAAGAAGCACCGGCUAACUACGUG